UUCCGGUUGAUCCUGCCGGACCUGACUGCUAUCGGAUUGAUACUAAGCCAUGCGAGUCAUUGUAGUAAUACAAGGCAGACGGCUCAGUAACGCGUAGUCAACCUAACCUAUGGACGGGAAUAACCUCGGGAAACUGAGUAUAAUGCCCGAUAGAACAUUAUGCCUGGAAUGGUUUAUGUUCCAAAUGAUUUAUCGCCGUAGGAUGGGACUGCGGCCUAUCAGUUUGUUGGUGAGGUAAUGGCCCACCAAGACUAUUACAGGUACGGGCUCUGAGAGGAGUAGCCCGGAGAUGGGUACUGAGACACGGACCCAGGCCCUAUGGGGCGCAGCAGGCGAGAAAACUUUGCAAUGUGCGAAAGCACGACAAGGUUAAUCCGAGUGGUUUCUGCUAAAGGAACCUUUUGUCGGUCCUAGAAACACCGAUGAAUAAGGGGUGGGCAAGUUCUGGUGUCAGCCGCCGCGGUAAAACCAGCACCUCAAGUGGUCAGGAUGAUUAUUGGGCCUAAAGCAUCCGUAGCCGGCUCUAUAAGUUUUCGGUUAAAUCUGUAUGCUCAACAUACAGGCUGCCGGGAAUACUGUAGAGCUAGGGAGUGGGAGAGGUAGACGGUACUCGGUAGGAAGGGGUAAAAUCCUUUGAUCUAUUGAUGACCACCUGUGGCGAAGGCGGUCUACCAGAACACGUCCGACGGUGAGGGAUGAAAGCUGGGGGAGCAAACCGGAUUAGAUACCCGGGUAGUCCCAGCUGUAAACUAUGCAAACUCAGUGAUGCAUUGGCUUGUGGCCAAUGCAGUGCUGCAGGGAAGCCGUUAAGUUUGCCGCCUGGGAAGUACGUACGCAAGUAUGAAACUUAAAGGAAUUGGCGGGGGAGCACCACAAGGGGUGAAGCCUGCGGUUCAAUUGGAGUCAACGCCGGG
This 914-nucleotide ribosomal RNA is filed under the name uncultured archaeon. Its description in RNAcentral is "bacterial SSU rRNA". It matches the Rfam family "Archaeal small subunit ribosomal RNA", at positions 1 to 922 of the family's 1478-position model. The record is from RNAcentral.